AAUCAACGCUGGCGGCGUGCCUCAGACAUGCAAGUCGAACGCGAAAGUUUCCUUCGGGGAACAAGUAGAGUGGCGCACGGGUGAGUAACACGUAGGUAAGUCUACCUUUGGAUGGGGAAUAACAACCGGAAACGGUUGCUAAUACCGCAUAAUGCAGCGGCACCUAAAUGGUGACAGUUGUUAAAGCGGGGGAUCGAAAGACCUCGCGUCUGAAGAGGAGCCUGCGGCGGAUUAGCAGUUGUAAGGUAAUGGCUUACCAAGGCUACGAUCCGUAACCGGCCUGAGA
This 286-nucleotide ribosomal RNA is filed under the name uncultured bacterium. RNAcentral's name for it is "partial 16S ribosomal RNA". It matches the Rfam family "Bacterial small subunit ribosomal RNA", at positions 32 to 297 of the family's 1533-position model. The record is from RNAcentral.